UUCUGAGUCAGGAAAUCUGACCGUUUUCACUGGUUUUGGAUGAAUGAUUGUUUAAAGAUGAGUUUUAAUAUUAUGCCAAAAUGAUCUCUUACUAUUAAUUUGUAAUAGUUGUUCAAAUAGUUUUGCUCUACUGACUGUCUUUUACUCAGACUUGAAGCAGAAAUAUCCGUUUCUCUGUUUCUUUAACAAUCACGCAAUUUACUCCAAGAUUGUCCUGGAAUUUGCUUCAUUCAUCUUCCCCUUAACUCCUGCUUGAGUGUCUCUGCUGAAAAAUCAUCCACACAACAUGAUAAUCCCACCAAGGUCCCCUGAUGAGGUUACCCAUCCGUCACAGAGCAACACAAGACAAACACCCAUGAAUGCACUCACUCAUACCUUACAGAGAUCAACUGACCUAGCAGGUAUGUUUUUGGAUAGUGGAGCUGGAGAGAAGUCACGCCUGAAUAGAGAGAACAUUCGAACUCCAUGCACAAAGAGCCCCAGGCCUGGAUUUGAACCCAUGAUCUUCUUCCUGGAAGGCAAUAAUGCUGCAAACUGUGCUGCCUUGCAGUCCUACCUACAAAUUCCAA
Poecilia reticulata (guppy) is the source of this 569-nucleotide long non-coding RNA. RefSeq lists it as uncharacterized. NCBI's taxonomy places the organism in Eukaryota, Metazoa, Chordata, Actinopteri, Cyprinodontiformes, Poeciliidae. The record is from RefSeq and is a predicted model, not a curated record.